UCGUUCUGCCACGUGGAUCAAGAACUUCAUUUCCACACACCCUACUGCUCAGCACAAUUUGAGCUGUUUUCUCUCACGUACCUGAACUCUGAUUUGGACUCAGGCCAGGCAAGUUUAAGAACCAAAGUGCCAAAAUCCUCUGCGCAUGUUCUAUGUGGACAUGUGCUCCCUCUCGGAAGUCCUCCGGGGAGAUGAGUGGUGCUAUGCUGGGGACGCCACACAGUGCGGCCCGCGCCCUCUGGCAGUUUUCCUUACCCAAGUCUGCACCACGUGCCUGUGGUUUCUUUACGAAAGCUUAGUCAUUGCUAGUUAUUCUAAAAUUUCUGUCGCUAUAGUAAAUGAGACCUCUUUUUCUGUUGCA
Long non-coding RNA from Suricata suricatta (meerkat), 361 nucleotides. RefSeq lists it as uncharacterized. The record is from RefSeq and is a predicted model, not a curated record. The transcript has 2 exons. NCBI's taxonomy places the organism in Eukaryota, Metazoa, Chordata, Mammalia, Carnivora, Herpestidae.